GACAGAGGUCCCAAGCGUUAGGCGGAAUCACUGGGCUUAAAGCGUGUGUAGGCGGAUGUCUAAGUACCUUGUGAAAUCCCACGGCUCAACCGUGGAACUGCUUGGUAUACUGGAUGUCUUGAGCCAUCUAGGGGCUACUGGAACAAAUGGUGGAGCGGUGAAAUGCGUAGAUAUCAUUUGGAACGCCAAUGGUGAAAACAGGUAGCUGGGGCUGUACUGACACUGAGACACGAAAGCCAGGGGAGCAAACGGG
This 253-nucleotide ribosomal RNA is filed under the name uncultured bacterium. Its description in RNAcentral is "partial 16S ribosomal RNA". It matches the Rfam family "Bacterial small subunit ribosomal RNA", at positions 524 to 776 of the family's 1533-position model. The record is from RNAcentral.